Molecule: ribosomal RNA, 443 nt
Filed under: uncultured bacterium
Lineage: Bacteria
Description: partial 16S ribosomal RNA
Rfam family: Bacterial small subunit ribosomal RNA
Source: RNAcentral
CCUACGGGAGACAGCAGUGGGGAAUAUUGGGCAAUGGAGGAAACUCUGACCCAGCAACGCCGCGUGAAUGAUGAAGGCCCUCGGAUUGUAAAGCUCUUUUCUAAGGGAAGAAGAAAGUGACGGUACCUUAGGAAUAAGCCUCGGCUAACAACGUGCCAGCAGCCGCGGUAAUACGGAGGACGCAAGCGUUAUCCGGAAUGACUGGGCGUAAAGGGUGCGUAGGUGGGUUGAGAAGUUAGUGGCGCAACUCCGGGGCUUAACUGCGAAACUGCUGCUGAAACUGUUGGACUUGAGUGCAGGAGGGGCAAGCGGAAUUCGUAGUGUAGCGGUGAAAUGCGUAGAUAUUAGGAAGAACCCCGGUGGCGAAGGCGGAUUGCUGGACUGUAACUGACGCUGAGGCACGAAAGCGUGGGUAGCAAACAGGAUUAGAUACCCUUGUAGUC